AUUGAACGCUGGCGGCAUGCUUUACACAUGCAAGUCGAACGGGCUGGGGGCGAACUCCAGUCAGUGGCGAACGGGUGAGUAAUACAUCGGAACGUACCUCGUAGUGGGGGAUAACUCGGCGAAAGCCGUGCUAAUACCGCAUAUGCUCUACGGAGGAAAGCAGGGGACCGCAAGGCCUUGUGCUAUGGGAGCGGCCGAUGUCCGAUUAGCUAGUUGGUGAGGUAAGGCUCACCAAGGCGACGAUCGGUAGCUGGUCUGAGAGGAUGAUCAGCCACACUGGGACUGAGACACGGCCCAGACUCCUACGGGAGGCAGCAGUGGGGAAUUUUGGACAAUGGGGGCAACCCUGAUCCAGCCAUGCCGCGUGCGGGAAGAAGG
Molecule: ribosomal RNA, 378 nt
Filed under: uncultured bacterium
Lineage: Bacteria
Description: bacterial SSU rRNA
Rfam family: Bacterial small subunit ribosomal RNA
Source: RNAcentral